This is a non-coding RNA of Bombina bombina (fire-bellied toad), 131 nucleotides long. RefSeq annotates it as small Cajal body-specific RNA 8. NCBI's taxonomy places the organism in Eukaryota, Metazoa, Chordata, Amphibia, Anura, Bombinatoridae. The record is from RefSeq and is a predicted model, not a curated record. The transcript has a single exon.
UGGGAGAUUGAUACACAGACGAGCUAAAAUCUGCUAUGUUUUGUCGCUAAGUCUCCCUAGAAUAAACAUGCCUUCUGAUGACCGGGACGAAAUUAGAGAAAUCGUAACGGACAGAUACGAGGCAGACAUUU